This is a non-coding RNA of Podarcis muralis (Common wall lizard), 1648 nucleotides long. The record is from RefSeq and is a predicted model, not a curated record. Lineage: Eukaryota; Metazoa; Chordata; Lepidosauria; Squamata; Lacertidae.
CCAAGGGCACCCUGGGACGUGUAGUUUUCCCGGAGGCGGGCGGCUUGAGCGCGUGACCCUGCCGAAACCGAAGCGCCGCCUCCGCAUUGGCAGGAAAGUAGGUCGCGGGCUCUUAAAGCGUCCUUUAGCGCCAGGCGCUAGUUCUGGUUCGGCGGCUGCCGCGCAAAGUGCGUAAUGGGUGAGCGCUGCUUACGGAAGGAGCGGAGUCGCGCGGGGCUGUUGCUCAGGCGGCGGUUGUUUUUCAACGGCGCGCUCGCGCGGUUUGUUGAUUUCAAAGUACGAGGAAGGCGGCGAGGUUCCAAAAGGAGGAGUGGGAAGGACCUCAGGGCAGCGACAGAUGAAGGGGAAAGUGGCAAUACUGGUCCCUAUUACUGUAUAAUAUAUCCUCCUUGAUAAGAAAAGAGGUCUCCCACUUUGCGGAAGUCAGCCAGCUGCAGCCAACAGGUCUUGAGGCUGCAGGAACCUGAGACGCCAUGGCACUUACAGGAGACAUCGGCCAACUUGUACACUGCCUAUGGAAGGAAGAAGGCAAGGUGGGGUCAGACAAAGUGUUCAAACAGCACUAAAAUCUGGCACAACAUAAGCAAUAACUGGUGCAACCUUAUGCACAGAAGCAAGCCUCACUGGACUUACAUCAUCAGCAUCAUUAAUUAUUAUUUUCUUAUACUGCGCCCAUUCUCAUAGCAGUCCAGUAAGGUAGCUACGAGCUGGACCAUUUGAAGAAAGAUUUUGACUGAGCUAUGUAAACAAUGUGAAGAGUACAAGUUUCCAGAGGAAGCUAAGAUGUCUGGACGUGAAACAUAGACCAACUGGACUCAAUCUGCAAGCGGAAUUUGUUUAAAAUCUGUCCCUCUUCGGCCUCCACCUCAAAUUCCUUUCUGAUUCUUCCUUUGUAAAGAAGUGGGAUGUAAAGGGAAUCAACGGGCUAAUUCCUAUGUGGUUAAUUAGCCAAGCCUCCUCUCAGCCUUGCUUGGCACUGGAUGGAGUGGCUGAUGAUUGAGGUCUACUACAUGUUGAACGGGUAAACAACGUGGCAGGGCUGCCAAAGGGAGACAGAUAAGGAGAGACCAAGUGGAGAAAGAGACAGAUGGAAGGAAAGGGCAGGCUAAGAUAACCGUCAAAGACAAACAAACAACAGGCAAUAAAGCUAAAAGUUUGGGGCCCUAAAAAAUUCAAGAGUGCAGUGGAGCAGCAAUGGGGUCAGGACUGUGUGGAAAACUGAAGCAAAUUCAGCUCCAUUCCCACCCCCUUAUGGCUCUUCCUGGGAACUGAAGUGGGACAGAAUUCGUCCUCCAUCACUUGAGCUGCAGACACCAAGGAAGGGGGAAAGGAAGUGCUCAGAUGCUCCUUAGCGAUCAAGGGUGCCCCAUGCAGUAAGACCUGGUCUCCAAUCCAGGAAGAACAGAGGGGGGCAAAUUCACUUGUGGAGAGACAAUUAAACAGAACACAGCUAGAAUCUUUAAAAAAAGAAGAAGCAACAUUAAUAGCAAAAAUGGCACAGGCAGUUAGUCACUCAUCACUAGUGAUGUUAAUGGGCUAGGUGGAGCGACAGCCUGACAAGUCCGUAUCUUCAUGUGUCAUUUGUGCAACUGCAUUCAUUAUUGCAAUUAACGCACUAGCUAGGGUGGGGGUGAAAGAAUGCUAUCAG